This 861-nucleotide ribosomal RNA is filed under the name uncultured archaeon. RNAcentral's name for it is "bacterial SSU rRNA". It matches the Rfam family "Archaeal small subunit ribosomal RNA", at positions 474 to 1337 of the family's 1478-position model. The record is from RNAcentral.
CACCCGCGGCUCGAGUGGUAGUCACUUUUAUUGAGCCUAAAGCGUUUGUAGCCGGAUUUGUAAAUCUCUAGGAAAAUACUUCUGCUUAACUGAAGAAAUUUUGGGGAGACUGCAAAUCUAGGGACCGGGUGAGGUUGAAUGUACUUCUGGGGUAGGGGUAAAAUCCUGUAAUCCUGGAAGGACGACCGGUGGCGAAGGCGUUCAACUAGAACGGAUCCGACGGUGAGGAACGAAGGCUAGGGGAGCAAACCGGAUUAGAUACCCGGGUAGUCCUAGCUGUAAACACUGCCCACUUGGUGUUGCAUCUCCGGUAAGGGGGUGCAGUGCCGUAGCGAAGGUGUUAAGUGGGCCGCUUGGGGAGUAUGGUCGCAAGGCUGAAACUUAAAGGAAUUGGCGGGGGAGCACCGCAACGGGAGGAGCGUGCGGUUUAAUUGGAUUCAACGCCGGAAAACUCACCGGAGGCGACCUGUGUAUGAGAGUCAACCUGAUGAAUUUACUCGAUAGCAGGAGAGGUGGUGCAUGGCCGUCGUCAGCUCGUACCGUAGGGCGUUCACUUAAGUGUGAUAACGAGCGAGACCCCCAUCUUCAAUUGCUAAGCUAACCGUGAGGUUGGUAGAACUUUGAAGGGACCGCCAGUGCAGAACUGGAGGAAGGAGGGGUCGACGGCAGGUCAGUACGCCCCGAAUCUUCCGGGCAACACGCGCGCUACAAAGGACAGGACAAUGGGCUGCGACCUCGAAAGGGGAAGCCAAUCCCGAAACCUGUUCGUAGUUAGGAUUGAGGGCUGUAACUCGCCCUCAUGAAUCUGGAUUCCGUAGUAAUCGCGGGUCAACAUCCCGCGGUGAAUAUGCCCCUGCUCCU